CCUACGGGAGGCAGCAGUGAGGAAUAUUGGUCAAUGGGCGCGAGCCUGAACCAGCCAAGUCGCGUGAGGGAGUACUGCCCUAUGGGUUGUAAACCUCUUUUGUCGGGGAGCAAAAUCCGGACGUUUCCGGCUGUUAGAUUACCCGUAGGAACAGCAUCCGCUAACUCCGGUCCAGCACCCGCGGUAAUGCGGAGGAUGCCGGGGUUAUCCGGAUUUAUUGGGUUUAAAGGGUGAGCAGGGGGAUGUUUAAGUCAGCGGUCACAUCGUGGGGGUAAACCCCAACCAGCCGUUGAAACUGGGGAGCUUGAGUGGGCUAGAGGUAGGCGGAAUGCGUGGUGUAGCGGUGAAAUGCAUAGAUAUCACGCAGAACCCCGAUUGCGAAGGCAGCAUACCGGGGCACAACUGACGCUCAGGCACGAAAGCGUGGGUAUCGAACAGGAUUAGAUACCCCAGUAGUC
This 458-nucleotide ribosomal RNA is filed under the name uncultured bacterium. Its description in RNAcentral is "partial 16S ribosomal RNA". It matches the Rfam family "Bacterial small subunit ribosomal RNA", at positions 338 to 795 of the family's 1533-position model. The record is from RNAcentral.